GUGGAUGUAGCUCAGCUUGGUAGAGUGCUUGAUUGUGGUUCAAGUUGUCGCGGGUUCAAGUCCCGUCAUCCACCCCA
Molecule: transfer RNA, 77 nt
Filed under: Candidatus Omnitrophota bacterium
Lineage: Bacteria; Pseudomonadati; Candidatus Omnitrophota
Also listed under: 1 other name
Description: tRNA-His
Rfam family: tRNA
About the family: Transfer RNA (tRNA) molecules are approximately 80 nucleotides in length. Their secondary structure includes four short double-helical elements and three loops (D, anti-codon, and T loops). Further hydrogen bonds mediate the characteristic L-shaped molecular structure. tRNAs have two regions of fundamental functional importance: the anti-codon, which is responsible for specific mRNA codon recognition, and the 3' end, to which the tRNAs corresponding amino acid is attached (by aminoacyl-tRNA synthetases). tRNAs cope with the degeneracy of the genetic code in two manners: having more than one tRNA (with a specific anti-codon) for a particular amino acid; and 'wobble' base-pairing, i.e. permitting non-standard base-pairing at the 3rd anti-codon position.
Source: RNAcentral